Molecule: transfer RNA, 68 nt
Filed under: Marmota monax (woodchuck)
Lineage: Eukaryota; Metazoa; Chordata; Mammalia; Rodentia; Sciuridae
Description: tRNA.Ala
Source: RNAcentral
GGAUUGUGGCUCAGUGGUAGAGCACUCACCUAGCACACGUGAGGCACUGCAUUCAAACCCCAGCAUCA